UCUCUUAGGCCUAUUUUACAGAAGGAAAAGCUGAGUGAACACAAAGAAAUUGCUCAGAACCAGACAUGGCUGGGGCUGCCUUGGGGUGGUUUUUGUGCUGAAUCACGGGCCUGACUGCUGCCCCAGAGCAAAGGAGAACCGUCUCCUGUGGUCGGUGGAGUUUCACUGCUUCCUCUUCUGACUUUUUCCACUCGGACUGAUCCUCGUCCUUGCCUGGCCACUUCUGCGUGUCCCACAGAGGCGGAACUUUGGGCCAGGUGGGCCCAGGGGGAGAGACCAGAAGGACAGAACAGCCGCUUAGACGGGCUUUCCAGGUGCACUGCCGUAUUUGGUAUACAAAUAACACCUCACGUCUGUGGUGAUGGGUCCUUAGGAAUAGACAGAGAAAUCGCCUUGGAAUUUGGUGACUUCAGGACAUGGCUUUGUUUUAAAAAAUUCAUUUCCAGACCUCAGCCGACAAUUUUUCCCAGCAAGAGGCUGAAGAACACAGAACUGCUUCCGGCCAUCUGGUUUCCUUCAGUCCAAAGGCGUAUGGGCGCAGUCCUUUCUAUGCUUGUGUAACCAAGUGGAAAUCCCUAGGGAGUAUCUAAACUCAAGCUUCUGCCACGUAGGGAAGGAACCUGCCAUACUAUGAAUUCCUUAUCCGCAGCCGACUUGACAUUUUUCACAGUGAACACUGUGUUCAGUAGCCUCACAGCGCACCUAAUUUGUGUUGCAUUUUGAAUAUUCUUGAAAAUGUCCAUAUAAUGAGAGGAAAACAAUAUGUGUCUAAGC
Molecule: long non-coding RNA, 774 nt
Filed under: Equus caballus (horse)
Lineage: Eukaryota; Metazoa; Chordata; Mammalia; Perissodactyla; Equidae
Description: lncRNA (ENSECAG00000059611.1)
Source: RNAcentral